CGCGGAGUCGCCGGCCAGGAAGCAGCGGGAGAGGUCGGCGAGGCCGGCGGCUGUAGGGUCGGCGGAGGCGAGGCCUCCGUCGUCCAGGAAUCGAAGCACGUCGACCCCGUCCUCGUACGGCGCCGGGUAGCGGUGCUCCGGGGCGAGGCGGUAGUUGACGGAGACGACGAGGGCGUUGAUCUUGCGGCAGAUCCGGCGGCAGAAAGCGUCGUAGGCGCGGGAGGCGGGGGAGAGGUAGGCGAACCCGCCGCCGUGGAAGUAGACGAUGACGGGAAUCCGGCCGGACGACGCAGAACUGGGGACGAAGAGGCGGAACCAGAGGUCACGGGAGGGAUCGACGGGGACGUCGGCCGUGCGGACGCCGUGGCGGGGCUUGGCGGAGGCGGAGGAGCGGGCGUCGAAGAAGGAAAGGAGGCAGCGAUUGAUGGUGCCGUUUGAGCGGCGAGCGCCGUCGGUGACGACGGAGAGCAGAGCGAUGUAGAGCCGCGUCGUCCACGGGAGCGGCGGCGAAGUUAAAGAACGGCCGCCACUCGCCAGCGAGGAGGCCUUUUGCGUCAUUUUAU
Molecule: long non-coding RNA, 563 nt
Filed under: Musa acuminata (dwarf banana)
Lineage: Eukaryota; Viridiplantae; Streptophyta; Magnoliopsida; Zingiberales; Musaceae
Description: long non-coding RNA (MACU_LNC005046)
Source: RNAcentral